GAGCGGUAAGGCCUUUCGGGGUACACGAGCGGCGAACGGGUGAGUAACACGUGGGUGAUCUGCCCUGCACUUCGGGAUAAGCCUGGGAAACUGGGUCUAAUACCGGAUAUGACCUCCUAUCGCAUGGUGGGUGGUGGAAAGAUUUAUCGGUGCAGGAUGGGCCCGCGGCCUAUCAGCUUGUUGGUGGGGUAAUGGCCUACCAAGGCGACGACGGGUAGCCGACCUGAGAGGGUGACCGGCCACACUGGGACUGAGACACGGCCCAGACUCCUACGGGAGGCAGCAGUGGGGAAUAUUGCACAAUGGGCGAAAGCCUGAUGCAGCGACGCCGCGUGAGGGAUGACGGCCUUCGGGUUGUAAACCUCUUUCAGCAGGGACGAAGCGCAAGUGACGGUACCUGCAGAAGAAGCACCGGCUAACUACGUGCCAGCAGCCGCGGUAAUACGUAGGGUGCAAGCGUUGUCCGGAAUUACUGGGCGUAAAGAGUUCGUAGGCGGUUUGUCGCGUCGUUUGUGAAAACCAGCAGCUCAACUGCUGGCUUGCAGGCGAUACGGGCAGACUUGAGUACUGCAGGGGAGACUGGAAUUCCUGGUGUAGCGGUGAAAUGCGCAGAUAUCAGGAGGAA
RNAcentral lists this ribosomal RNA (625 nucleotides) under Rhodococcus erythropolis. RNAcentral describes it as "bacterial SSU rRNA". It matches the Rfam family "Bacterial small subunit ribosomal RNA", at positions 64 to 706 of the family's 1533-position model. The record is from RNAcentral. Lineage: Bacteria; Bacillati; Actinomycetota; Actinomycetes; Mycobacteriales; Nocardiaceae.